CCUACGUGGGGCUGCAGUGGGGAAUAUUGGACAAUGGGGGCAACCCUGAUCCAGCCAUGCCGCGUGUGUGAAGAAGGCCCUCGGGUUGUAAAGCACUUUCAGUGAGGAAGAACGCCUGGUGGUUAAUACCCAUCAGGAAAGACAUCACUCACAGAAGAAGCACCGGCUAACUCCGUGCCAGCAGCCGCGGUAAUACGGAGGGUGCGAGCGUUAAUCGGAAUUACUGGGCGUAAAGCGCGCGUAGGUGGCUUGAUAAGCCGGUUGUGAAAGCCCCGGGCUCAACCUGGGAACGGCAUCCGGAACUGUCAAGCUAGAGUGCAGGAGAGGAAGGUAGAAUUCCCGGUGUAGCGGUGAAAUGCGUAGAGAUCGGGAGGAAUACCAGUGGCGAAGGCGGCCUUCUGGACUGACACUGACACUGAGGUGCGAAAGCGUGGGUAGCAAACAGGAUUAGAUACCCUAGUAGUC
Molecule: ribosomal RNA, 465 nt
Filed under: Vreelandella stevensii
Lineage: Bacteria; Pseudomonadati; Pseudomonadota; Gammaproteobacteria; Oceanospirillales; Halomonadaceae
Description: partial 16S ribosomal RNA
Rfam family: Bacterial small subunit ribosomal RNA
Source: RNAcentral